This 466-nucleotide ribosomal RNA is filed under the name uncultured bacterium. RNAcentral describes it as "partial 16S ribosomal RNA". It matches the Rfam family "Bacterial small subunit ribosomal RNA", at positions 28 to 507 of the family's 1533-position model. The record is from RNAcentral.
GAUGAACGCUGGCGGCGUGCUUAACACAUGCAAGUCGAACGAUGAAGCCCAGCUUGCUGGGUGGAUUAGUGGCGAACGGGUGAGUAACCCGUGAGUAACCUGCCCUUAACUCUGGGAUAAGCCUGGGAAACUGGGUCUAAUACCGGAUAGGAGCGCCUACCGCAUGGUGGGUGUUGGAAAGAUUUAUCGGUUUUGGAUGGACUCGCGGCCUAUCAGCUUGUUGGUGAGGUAAUGGCUCACCAAGGCGACGACGGGUAGCCGGCCUGAGAGGGUGACCGGCCACACUGGGACUGAGACACGGCCCAGACUCCUACGGGAGGCAGCAGUGGGGAAUAUUGCACAAUGGGCGAAAGCCUGAUGCAGCGACGCCGCGUGAGGGAUGACGGCCUUCGGGUUGUAAACCUCUUUCAGUAGGGAAGAAGCGAAAGUGACGGUACCUGCAGAAGAAGCACCGGCUAACUACGUG